Dalotia coriaria is the source of this 451-nucleotide long non-coding RNA. RefSeq lists it as uncharacterized. The transcript is spliced from 3 exons. The record is from RefSeq and is a predicted model, not a curated record. NCBI's taxonomy places the organism in Eukaryota, Metazoa, Arthropoda, Insecta, Coleoptera, Staphylinidae.
GCAAGCGCCGCACAACGCGGCGAAUUCGCAAAUCCCCGUGGUGCGCGGCUGCUUCCUACUCGUUCUGCUCUAUUCUUCCGUUUCUCCUUUGUGUUUGUAUUUUAUGCAGGAAGCAUUUCGGAAAAACAGCAGCGCUUACAGAGUGCACGAAAUUCAUGUUGCUUUGUUUGUUAGUGCGAAAUAUGUUUUCAUUACGAUGAUGAGAGGAAUCUAAUAUUAGCAGGUUGGCAGGUUGGCGUUCAGAGUGGCGGAGCCUUGAACUUCGGUAUUUUUCAUUUUCACAGUUCAUGGACUAGGUUACGCUGUGCCGUGGCGUAAAUCAAAGCUAACUUUUCACAACUGUAAAAACAUUGUGGCCUCUUUAUAACAACGUACAAGGGACCAUGCAUUAUAUUACGUUUUGGCGAGGUGUAGUUACAUCGAGGAACAAAAACAUAACCAAAUAUUGGGU